GAUGAAGAACGUAGCGAAAUGCGAUAAGUAAUGUGAAUUGCAGAAUUCAGUGAAUCUUCGAAUCUUUGAACGCACAUUGCGCCCCCUGGUAUUCCGGGGGGCAUGCCUGUUCGAGCGUCAUUUCACCACUCAAGCCUCGCUUGGUAUUGGGCAACGCGGUCCGCCGCGUGCCUCAAAUCGACCGGCUGGGUCUUCUGUCCCCUAAGCGUUGUGGAAACUUUCGCUAAAGGGUGUUCGGGAGGCUACGCCGUAAAACAACCCCAUUUCUAAGGUUGACCUCGGAUCAGGUAGGGAUACCCGCUGAACUUAAGCAUAUCAAUAAGCGGAGGA
RNAcentral lists this unclassified non-coding RNA (330 nucleotides) under soil metagenome. Its description in RNAcentral is "partial contains 5.8S ribosomal RNA, internal transcribed spacer 2, and large subunit ribosomal RNA". The stretch from base 1 to 120 matches the Rfam family "5.8S ribosomal RNA", at positions 35 to 154 of the family's 154-position model. The record is from RNAcentral.